CCCAAAAAACAAAAUUAUAUAUAUAUAUAGAGAGAGAGAGAGAGAGAGAGAGAGAGAGAGAGAGAGAGAGAGAGAGAGAGAGAGAGAGAGGUACAUAUAUAUACAUACUAAACACUGUGCAGGUUAAACAUUAAUACAAUAAAAUGCCUCAAGUCAUCAAUAACUUAAAUUAAAGAGGUAUUAUACAUCAAUGUACUGAAAUACUCUGAAUGUUAAACUAUAUGUGUUUGUAAACACAUGCUUAUGUAAGCCUAUUACAUCUUGUGGAAUGUUGGAGAUGAUAGGAUGUUCCUUGCCACCAAAACUGUCUGGUGGCUACCAACAUAAGGUAAACUCUGGAACUUCCUGCCUGCUUCGUAUUUCCACUUUCCCAUGACUUGAACUCUUUUAAGAGGGACAGAGGACACUUAUCCUGUAUUUUUGACUAACUCUUUUGACUUUGUUUGGGGACCAGCACCUCAGUGGGCCUUUUAUUUAUUUUUUUUUAUUGUAAUUUUUGUUGCCCUUGGCCAGUGCUCUCCUACAUAAAAAAAAAAAAAGAAUGCAAUGGCUCUUGUACUUUAGCAGGACAUUGCUAUGUUGUUGCUGAAUACCAAUUUACCAUCUCUGUUAGCAGCAUGGUAACUUGGUCCUCAUUAGUGGGACUAACUGGUAAGUUUCGUAAAUCCAGGCCCGAGGGACCUUAUUAACAAAGAUUCUCAGACUUCAGCUUAGACUUGUGCUUGUCUCUUAAGAGUUUUUAAGGCCUUGGCUGAGACUAACUCUUAAGUUCCACUGUGAAAUGGUGAAAGAACAAAACAGUAAAAUUUUAAAAAUAUUGAUUUCGUGCUUUUAAUGCAGUUUUUAGCAGCUGUGUGGUCAAAAAAUAAUAAUAUAUUUUUUUAUUUCUAUUUUCAUAGAUAAAUUAGAUCUCAUGUGAGGCACCAGUAUUUUAUCUCAUUGUUUACAACUUGCCCUACCAAAUUUGAUCAGCACCUCUCUGAUGCCAUUUGCCUUAGUAAUACUGAAAAUGGAGCAACCUGCAACUGAAGGCAGUCAUAAAGGAAGGUUGCAGGAUAAAUUGCACUUCCUACAGCCAGUGCAUAAGCACAAACCAGUGUUGAAGGGCAAAUUCAGCCCUUCAUUUACAUACUGCCACAAGAGGGUCACUUGGGACUCAAUAACCAAGGAAAUAAAUGAGCAAGAACAGGAAGUUGGAGGAGGUGGAGGAAAGAUGGCAGAACAUAAGACCCUAGGCCAUGAAGGAUGACUUUGAAUAUAGGAAAGCCUUAGUGUAGACAGGUGAGUUGAUCUGCAAUUCAAUUGAAUCUUUAGAUUGGUUCUGCAAUAAUCUGUUGUACUGGCAAUUUUCACUUCAACAAAUGAUGGUGGUAAUUCUUCAAAGUGUUGUAUCCUCAUUUUCACAGGUAGUGGCCCUCCUUCCAAACAGUCAGAUGACAUAACUGAGCUUAUUUGGGACAUUAUGGGGAGGGACAGUGUGUCUGUUGAUGGGGUUGUGAUGGAAGAGGUGGGAGAUACAACUGCUGUGCACCUGAGACUUGAUGCCAUGGCUUCAACUUCUCAGGCUACAGAUGAGGUGGAUCAUCCACAUAUCAUCACUAUAGAUGAAUGUGUGGUUGAUCCACCAAGACCUCCCACUUCCACUCACCAUCCACCACCAGUGGUCCACCCACCACCUUUGCCACCUCCACCUCAUCAAUUUCCUUCUGGCAACCAGCAACACUGAAACAUCUGCUGCCUCACACUAUGGGUGAGGUAUUGAACACUAUGGGCAAGGUAUUGAUGCCUAUGUGGCACAACUUGCCUUCUUAGAUAUCUCACCCAGCAAGUAAAUGAAUCUUUUUUAUAUUAUUUUAAACACACACACACACACACACACACACACACACACCUAAAAAAAGCAUUUGAUGAGGUACCACACCAGAGACUGCUAUGGAAAAUUCAAAAUAUAGGGGGUUUGCAAGGAAACACACUGAAUUGGAUUACAGACUUCUUGAGGGAUAGAGAAAUGGGAACAGUAAUAAAGGGAGAAAAAUCAGAAUGAUGUAGAGUUACAAGUGGAGUACCACGGGGGACAGUCUUAGCCCCCGUAAUGUUUCUGGUGUAUGUCAACGAUAUGGUGGAUGAGGUUGACAGUUAUAUAAGUCUGCAGACGAUGCAAAAUUAUUGAAAAGAGUGGAAAACAUUAUGGAUUGUGAAAUAUUACAGAAAGAUCUAAAUAAGAUAUAUAAAUGGAGUAAGAAAUGGGAAAUGGAAUUCAAUGCAAAGAAAUGCAAGGGGAUGGAAUUAGGAGAAAGCAAAAGAAGAUUGACAAGUUUCUACACCAUGGGAGAAGUGGAAAUUAAGAAAACCAAAGAAGAAAAGACUUGGGAAUUACAAUAAGUAAUAAUUUAUCACCAGAAAAACAUGUAAACAAAAUAGUUGAGGAAACCUAUGAGUUACUGAGAAAUGAAAGGGGCACUUGCUUACAUGGAUAAAGAGAUGAUGAAAAAGUUGAUGGAAUAUGCGAUUCAACCAAAACUGGAAUAUGCCACAAUUGUUUGGUCAUCCCAUAAUAAAAAGGAAAUAAGGAAAAUAGAAAGGAUCCAAAGAGCUGCAACCAAAUUGGUACCAAGUUUGAGAGAUUUAACUUAUGAAGAAAGAUUAAGGAGAUUGAAGCUUCCAUCAUUACAAGAGAGAAGAGAAAGAGAGGACCUGAUUGCUAUAUACAGAGCUUUAAAGGGUAAGGAUAAAGUUGACAAAGAAGACUUAUUUGUGUGGGACUCAAGAGAUACAAGAGGACAUGGAGUGAAAUUGAGGAAAACAGCAAGUAGAAGAGAUGUCAAGAAGUAUGGUUUCCCAAAUAGAAGUAUAGAAAUAUUGAACAACUUAGAUGAAACAGUGGUACAAGCAACAAAUUUUCAUGAAUUUAAAGUUAAGCUGGAUACUUAUAGAUAUGGAGGCAGGACAGCAUGAGGAUAGUUCUUUUCCUGUAAAACACAACUAGGUAAAUACACUCAUACUAGAGUCAUUGUCAAAUAAACAAGAAGUGAUCCAAGCUCCAGCAGAGAAAGAUUUUGCUUGACCACGGCCACCACUAGGAGCCUAGAAUGUGUUCCCAGGUAGGAGCUGUGCUCAAGUAGAGUUGUCCUGUCUUCAGAAAUAAAAUAAAAAAAAAUUAAAUAAAUAAAAAAAUAAAGGAAAAUUUAAGUAAUAAUAGAUGUAAUAAAACGAGUAAAAGCUCCAGCAAGGCGGACGCCAUAGGUGGGAGCAAAAUGUUCCCAACGGGGUCACCAUUCCCAGGAUUUUAGAAAGACACUGAACUACAUAGAAAAAUGCAAGGAAGGAAAGUGGUUUUAAUGGAGGGGAUGAUCAGUGACCUCACUGAAAGAGUGAAAAAAUUUGGAAAAAUGCAAGGAAGGAAAGUGGUUUUAAUGGAGGGGAUGAUCUGUGACCUCAUUGAAAGAGUGAAAAAAUUAGAAAAAAAACAUGACCUGGAGGAGGAAAACAAAGAAUUGAAAACACUAUGUGCCGAUCUAAAGACAAAAUUGAAGGAAAACAAUGAUAUUGUUAAAAAACAGGAAAAUGAAGUGAUAGGGAUAAAAGGUAAACAUCAAAUCUGGAGGAAGAAAAAAAGAGGAAGAAAAGUUAACUUUACAGAAAUCAUAGAAGUGCAAAAGAAGGAAAGACAGAUUUAAGUAAGGAAAUUGUGAAAGUGAUCAAACAGAAGGAAUCGAUGGUAAGGGACACAGUGGACAAAAAAGAAAUGUUGUUAUAUAUGGAUUAAAAGAGGAAACAGCCAGUAAGAUACAAGAGGGAAAAGAACAAUAAAAGGUAGCAGAGGAUGUUGUAAGAAAUAUACAGAGAAGGUGAGGACUGGAUAAGUGAUAUUUAGGAAAUACAUAGACUGGGGAAGUAUACAGAAAGUAAAAUUUGGGGCACAAACAACAGCCAUGGAAGUGAUAUUGUAUAUGUGGAAACUGAACAAGACAGAGCAAUACAGGAAAGUUUGGAUAAAGAGGGACAUGAAUGAGGAGGAGACACUCAAGGUAAACGAUCUAAUAAAAGAAGCGAAGGCAAAAAAUGAGAACAGAACGGAGGAAGAGAAAAAAAAGUUCUAUCGGAAGGUAAAAGACGAGAGGCUAAGGAAGUGAUAUCUGACAGAAAAAAAAUAGAAAAUGUAAAUAAAGUAUGGAAAAAUAUAAAGUGGACAGUGGCAAUUGAAUAAUUAUAACAAGAUAAAGCAGCCCAACAUUAUGGGUAUUACUGAAGUUAAACUAAAUGAGACAACAGAAAAUAUAAGAAUUGGUAAUAGUAAUUAUAAUGUGUGGAUAAAACAUAGAAAUAAUAAGAAAGGGGGAGGAGUCAUGUUACAGAGAAGAGUAUAACAGUGGAAGAUGUCGAAAUUGGAGAAGGAAUGGCAGAAGUAAUUAGAAUUAAAACAAAAAGGAAGGGAGAAGGAAGAAGAGAUUUUACAGUGGCUUAUGUACCCCCAAAGACGAAUGCAUGAACACAAGAGGAUUAUAAAUUACUGUUAAGAGAUACUAGUAAGUGUUUGGAGAGAUUACUGGGGGAGAGUAAUGAUAUAACACUUAUGGGUGACUUUAAUUGCAAGAAGGUAUGCUGGGAAGAGUGGAUUACGGACAGAGGAGAAGAGUCAUGGGGAUAUAUGCUUCUAAAUUUAAUAACGACAAAUACUAUGACCCAAUGCAUUGGGGAAAAUACAAGAUUUGGGGGUAAUAAAAAGGCAUCAAGGCUAGACUUGUUGUUCGCAAAGAAAAUGGACAUCAUUGAAGAAAUAAGUUAUCAGUGCCUAUUAGGUAAAAGUGAUCAUCUGGUAAUUGAAUUCAGUAUAGGCAGUGGUCCAAUAGAAAAUAGGAAUGAAAUUUACAAGAAUGGGAGAUGUAAUUACAGGAAAGCAGAUUUUAUCAGGUUAAGGGAAUGUCUUGCAGAGGCUAAAUGGAAACAACUGUUCACGGCAAAUAAUUCACAGGAAAAGUGGGAUAUAUUCAUGGAAAGUUAUAAUGAAAGGGUCAGUAGAUAUGUACCAAAGAUCAAAACAAAGGAAGUAAAAAAGAAAAAAGACUGGUUUAAUACGAGAUUUAUAACGGCAAGAAAAGAAAAAGAAGCAGCAUGGAAUAGAUGGAGAGAAAAAGGAGGAAGUGAGAAAUGGGAAGAAUUCAAGAAGGCAAGAAGUGAAUAUAUCAGAAUCCUGAGAGAUGGAGAAAGGAAUUACGAGAAAGAUAUAGUUAACAAAUGCAAAGAUGAGCCGAAGUUAUUUUUCAGAUAUGUGAAUGGGAAGAUGAAAAACAAGCAAACAGUAGAUAAAUUAACGAAAGAUGACAUUACAUACCAAGAUACACAGUUACAAGCGGAAUUAAUGAACAAGUGCUUCCAGUCAGUAUUCACCAAAGAAAGCAAAUUUGAAGGAGAAGGAGCAUGGCACAGAGACAAUGUGAUGAGAGAGAUACAGGUGGACAUAAGUGAAAUUAAGAAGAUUAUGAAAGAUUUGGAUGUAAGUAAGGCUCAAGGACUAGAUGGAGUGUAAAACUGGAUACUUAAGGAAUGUUGUGAACAACUGGCACAAAGUAUACACAAUACCAUAGUAUGUUCUUUUAAGGAAGGAAAAAUUCCUCUAGACUGGAAGAGAGCCAAUGUUGUGCCCAUUUUUAAAGGAGGUAAUAAAGAAGAUCCAUUGAAUUACAGACCAGUGUCCCUAACAAGUGUGGUGGCAAAAAUAGUGGAAAGAAUAGUUAAAAACAGAUGGAUGGAAUAUUUAGAAGAAACACAUACAUUGACUGACAGACAAUUUGGUUUCAGAAGUGGAAGAUCUUGUGUCUCGAAUUUAGUGAGCUUUUAUAGUAGAGCAAUUGAUAUAAUUCAAGAGAGAGAGAGAGGGUUGUGUUUUAUUUAGACCCAAAAAAAAGCAUUUGAUAGGGUGCCACACCAGAGACUGCUAUGGAAAAUUCAAAAUAAAGGGGGUUUGCAAGGCAACACAGUGAACUGGAUUACGGACUUCUUGAGGGACAGAGAAAUGAGAACAGUAAUAAAGGGAGAAAAAUCAGAAUGGUGUGGAGUUACAAGUGGAGUACCACAGGGGACAGUCUUAACCCCCAUAAUGUUUCUGGUGUAUGUCAAUGAUAUGGUGGAUGAGGUUGAUAGUUAUAUAGGUAUGUUUGCAGACAAUGUGAAAUUACUGAAGUAUAUGAGACUUAACGUAGGUCAGUUGAAAUGUGCUUCGGAUUUUGCGAGGCAAAUCACCUCUGCUAGAUGGGAGCUUUCACAUGAGACACGCUGCGCUUCACCACACUGUCAGUCUUUAAAGAGUACAACCACCCACAUGAAUCAUCACCUCCCAACCACUCAAGUCUGGAAAUUGUCAUUGGGAAACCCAAGAUCCACCACUUAAGAAAGGGAGGGAGCGGAGGGCAUGUGAAAGCUCCCAUAUAGCAGAGAAGAUUUGCCUCACAAAAUCCGAAGCACAUUUCAGCUGACCUGCGGUAAGUCUCAUGCACUUCAGUAAUUUUACUUCAGCAAAUCACCUGUCUGCUAGAUGGCGCUGUCACAUGAGAUUUUAAAGUCAUGUGGGUGUUGUAUCCAUCUAAUCCUGUCAAAUGCCACAUCAUGUAAACAGGUGUAAAGAAAACUCCCUAGAAAGAGAGCCCAAUCUUCAUUAUGGAAACAUAACAUUACCCUCACUGAACAUAAUAAAUCAAAACAUGUAUAACCCAACAUAACAUAUACAUAAACAUGAAUUACACGGAACCCAGCACCGCCUCUUGAAAUGGGUCUGUGUCCCGGAGUAUAUCCUUAUUAUAAUGCCUAGCGAACGUGGCCUCCCGCGUCCAACCAGCCUUGGCCAUGAUAGUGGCAAUUAGCAUGGCCAGCACCUUGGCCAUAGAUGCUGAGUCAGAUCUAACAUUACCUGCAGUGAACCUUGUGGUGUCAAUCCCACACCUAUUUAAUGUUGUCUUGAGCCACCUGGCCACCGUGUCUUUAGAAACACUCCUAUGAGGUUUUAUGUAACUGAUGAGUAGUUUCCUGUCUGCAUUUCCAAAUUCUGUCUGGAGCUUCUCAGUUCUCUCUAUAUAUUCCUUCAUGGUCAUAAAUACACACAGCCUGUUAUCCUGAGUAAAAGCUCUAAACUCAGUUGUCCGAUGUUACCCCCUAACAAAACUGAAACGGAGUCUUCUCUAAAGGCAAUGUUCCUCAGGGACCGUAGGAGGCGAAAAAUCGAAAAAAUCUGGUACAUUAACGUAUUUCAGGAAAACCUAUGGCUAGCGUCACUAUGUAGGUGACUUCAUUCUCACCAAGUGUUAUAAGUGGAACUUUAGUUUUUCCUACAAAAAUUAUAAUAGAUAAAAUAUUGGCAAUAUCUGGCAACCCUUUUAAAUCCCCCACUCCUUGUUUACAUUGCCAAAAACCCAAAAUUAAUCCAAAAAUUUUGGUUUUUGGCUGAUAAACUACGUGUCUGGAGGUUGCUGGCAUCUUCUACCACCAGACAAACCAUACGUGAGCCCGUGAGCCUUUGUACACUCAGUGCCCAACAGACAGUCAGAGGGUGGCUAUAUCAGUACAGGUGGUUGCAGUUAUCACGGAGUUCUGUCCUAUUAUUCUCUAUGCCACAAUGCCAGGACGCAUUUGCAUUCAAGAGUAUGGCGAUAUUAUUCUAAAUACAAGAAUGCAAACAAGAACAUUUUGGACUUCGCUGCUGCCCAAGCUGUCAUUGACUACAAUGUUGGCUACCAGGAUGGUUUUUGUCCUUCCAUCACUUGGGGAGCCUUACACUCAUAUUCAGCAGUCUGUCCUUGUGAGAAUGGACAAAUUACGUGAAAAGGAGUUAAAGGCCAAAGAAAACAGGGUUAAAUCCCCCGUCCUGUAAAAUUCAAGUUUUUGUUCUAUUUUUGUGUACUACUUCUUUAUUUAUGGACCGUUUUUGUUCAUUUUAUCUUGUUUAAAAGAGUAAAGGUUACUCUUUAAUUUUGCAAAACAAAUUUUUAUUUUGCUUAUUGGGGGAUUAAUUGUGAAUUUAUUAUUACGUUAUUAUUACUAAGUUGCCAAAUUUUUGUUGUUUGCAUGAAUAAAUUCAUAUAAAAUCA
Molecule: long non-coding RNA, 8078 nt
Organism: Scylla paramamosain (green mud crab)
Lineage: Eukaryota; Metazoa; Arthropoda; Malacostraca; Decapoda; Portunidae
Exons: 2
Source: RefSeq, a predicted model, not a curated record